This 509-nucleotide ribosomal RNA is filed under the name Euryphyminae sp. 1a. Its description in RNAcentral is "partial large subunit ribosomal RNA". It matches the Rfam family "Bacterial large subunit ribosomal RNA", at positions 1825 to 2600 of the family's 2925-position model. The record is from RNAcentral. Lineage: Eukaryota; Metazoa; Arthropoda; Insecta; Orthoptera; Acrididae.
GUCCUCUUGUAAAUAUUUUGAGGUCUGGCCUGCUCACUGACAAGAUUUUGAAGAGCCGCGGUAUUUUGACCGUGCAAAGGUAGCAUAAUCAUUAGUCUCUUAAUUAGGGGCUGGAAUGAAUGGUUUGACGAGAAAUCAACUGUCUCUUAAUAAUUUUUAAAAUUUAACUUUUGAGUCAAAAGGCUUAAAUUUUUCUUUAGGACGAGAAGACCCUAUAGAGCUUAACAUCUUAUUUUUAUAUAGUUUUUAGAUGUCUUUCUAUAUUAAAUGAUAAUGUUUUGUUGGGGUGACAUGAAGGAUAAUUAAACUCUUCAUUAUAAAAUCAUUAAUUUAUGUUUAUUAUGAUCCAUAAUUUAUGAUCAAAAGAUUAAGUUACCUUAGGGAUAACAGCGUAAUUGUUUUUGAAAGUCCAUAUUGAUAAAUCAGAUUGCGACCUCGAUGUUGGAUUAAGAAAAAUACUUGGUGCAGUAGCUUAGUAAUUAGGUCUGUUCGACCUUUAAAUUCUUACA